This is a non-coding RNA of Xyrichtys novacula (pearly razorfish), 647 nucleotides long. Lineage: Eukaryota; Metazoa; Chordata; Actinopteri; Labriformes; Labridae. The record is from the annotation of a GenBank genome assembly.
UUGGAGCUAGGGUUAGGGUUAGGGUUAGGGUUGGAGUUAGGGUUAGUGUUGGAGCUAGGGUUAGGGUUGGGCUUGGAGCUAGGAUUUUUCUGAGUGCACUGAACCAACUCCCGAGUCUCUAGGACAUUCCUAAAAAAAUUUGAUUUUUUCCCAUAGGAAUGCAUGGGUUAGGGUUAGGGUUAGGGUUGGAGCUAGGGUUAGGGUUAGGGUUAGGGUUGGAGUUAGGGUUAGUGUUGGAGCUAGGGUUAGGGUUGGGCUUGGAGCUAGGAUUUUUCUGAGUGCAAUGAACCAACUCCCGAGUCUCUAGGACGUUCCUAAAAAAAUUUGAUUUUUUCCCAUAGGAAUGCAUGGGUUAGGGUUAGGGUUAGGGUUGGAGCUAGGGUUAGGGUUAGGGUUAGGAUUAGGGUUGGAGUUAGGGUUAGUGUUGGAGCUAGGGUUAGGGUUGGGCUUGGAGCUAGGAUUUUUCUGAGUGCACUGAACCAACUCCCGAGUCUCUAGGACAUUCCUAAAAAAAAUUUGAUUUUUUCCCAUAGGAAUGCAUGGGUUAGGGUUAUGGUUAGGGUUAGGGUUGGAGCUAGGGUUAGGGUUAGGGUUAGGGUUGGAGUUAGGGUUAGUGUUGGAGCUAGGGUUAGGGUUGGGCUUGGAGC